CAUGUGGUUUAUGAUGUUGCUCUUUUUUCCCCAUCAUAUCGACCAUGGUGAUUUCUUUCGAAAUAAGCCAAAUCUUCUGAAACCACAAC
Molecule: small nucleolar RNA, 89 nt
Organism: Triplophysa dalaica
Lineage: Eukaryota; Metazoa; Chordata; Actinopteri; Cypriniformes; Nemacheilidae
Product: small nucleolar SNORD12/SNORD106
Exons: 1
Source: RefSeq, a predicted model, not a curated record